Thalassophryne amazonica is the source of this 1815-nucleotide long non-coding RNA. RefSeq lists it as uncharacterized. The record is from RefSeq and is a predicted model, not a curated record. NCBI's taxonomy places the organism in Eukaryota, Metazoa, Chordata, Actinopteri, Batrachoidiformes, Batrachoididae. The transcript is spliced from 3 exons.
CUUCAGCCAUCACCAUGUUUGAUCUUGUCAGAAACAUUUCUGUCAAAAAAUGUGGACAUGUGAUGGACACAAGAGUCACAAGUCUAUCUUUCUGUGUACUCUGUCCAUUGUGGUGAGCAGGACAACAGUAUGAAUUUAUAUUAGCUAAUGGUUUUCAAUUCUGCAUAAUUCUAAAUAAUUUCUUUUGGUCGUUUUGCUCGUGGUCACCACUCUGGAAGCUCUACCUGGUGCACCUCCAGAUGUGCAAGAAGACGGGAGCAAGGGCUGCCUUUGAACCCCGGAUCUUCUAGCUGACUUUCAUUGCUAUCAGCUCUCCUGUACCCUCAGGAUGGGGCUGCAGCUUGCAUGUGACAGACCUCCAGAGCUAUCUAUGGCUGAAAGGGUUGAAGUCCAUUUCGAGGUUCCACAUUGAGACAAAAGUCACAAACAUGACUUGAACAGUCUGAUGGUCUGAGGGACAAAGGAGUUUUUCAGUCUGUUGGUCCUGCAUUUGGGAAGGAGCAGGCUGUGGCAGAAGAGGCUCCUCUGGUUGCUGAUGACGGUGUGCAGAGGGUGACUGGCAUCGUCCAUAAUGUCCAGCAGUUUGUCCAUUGUUCUCUACCACCGUCACCAGAGAGUCCAGCUUCAUGCCAACCACAGAGCCAGCCUGCCUGAUCAGUUUGUCCAGCCUGGAUGUGUCCUUUGAUGUGCUGCCCCCACAGCACACCAUGGCGUAAAAGAGGACGCUGGCUAUAGACUGGAAGAACAUCCACAGGAGUUUUCUGCAGAUGUUAAACAACCGCAACCUCCUCAGGUACAGGAAGGGACAGCCUUCUCUGCCCCUUCCAGUACAGGUGGUUGAUGUGGGUUGUCCAGUUUGCUGUCCAGCCACAGCUCGGGGUACUUGUAGGAAUCCACAGCCUCCACCUCAGCUCCCUGGAUCAGAACUGGUCAUGGACUUGGUUUGGACUUCCCAAAGUCAAUAACCAGCUCCUUUGUCUUUGAGGUGUUGAGCUAUAGAUGGUUUGUGUGGCACCAGGCAGCAAAGUCUUUCACUCGGCUCCUGUACUCCUCCAACCUGUCAUCAAUAAUGCAUCCAACAAUGGGUGUGUCAUCUGUGAACGUCUGAACGUGACACAGCUCAGUGUGACAAACUACAAAUGUAGCAUUAGACACCAUUAUUUUUUUGCACUAAAACAUGUUUUUGUGUCUCUUUCUCUCUCUCUCACACACACACACACACACACACACACACACACACACACACACACACACACACACACACACACACACACACACACACACACACACACACACACACACACACCACCACCAGCACAAAAAGGUAAAAACAGAAAGAAAGAAAACACAAUUUUCUCACACAUGCUAAUUACAUUUGUAAAUAAACUGCCUAUGUCAUCAACCUCCUUCUUUUGCCCCCCACCCCCUGAAUGCCUUGUGACGCAUAGAGGCAACAAUGAAUCCUGAGGUGCAGGACGACACCGUUUGCUCAGAUUCAGCCAAACACUGACUGUGCAGAUGGAGAAUGAAACAAGGAGGCAGAACAAAAGUCUGGCAAAGCAUGUCAAGGGAAUAAACUCAGCCAUUUGGUGAUGUUCAUGCGAGCAAUAGUAACAAAAAUCCUUACAUUUUUAUAGUAAUUCUCUUUAUUUUCUCCAAUUGCUUUUGGCCUUGAUUCCUGAAUAUUUAAUGUGAUAUUUUUGACGAACCCUUUGACUGAAAGCUGAAAGUCUACACUUCGGUACGAUCUUAAUUUGGUUUUGGUGUCAUUUCAACUGCAUUUUGGUUUAGAAGGAAACUUUACAUACCCAACUA